AGAGAGGUUCCAAGGCAGCGCCAUGGAUUUCAAGGGAGUCGAUUUCGACUACUUGCCGUUCGGGGCCGGGCGGAGGAUAUGCCCCGGAAUCGGGUUCGGGAUGGCCACCGUGGAGCUCGCCCUGGCUCACCUCCUCCUGCACUUCGACUGGGAGCUGCCCCAUGGAAUGAGACCGGAGGAGCUCGACAUGUGCGAGACCAUGGCGUUUGUCGCACCGAGGAAGACGGAGCUGAAGCUGAUCGCUACCAUUCGAGUUCCUAUCCCCAUCGCUACCUGAAGCUUUCUUGUUGGCGCAUUUAUUAUUAAGUGAAGGAUCUAAAUCAAAGAACAAUAAAUCUAAGAAUUAUAAUGCAUUCCUUUCGGUUGAGAAAAAUCUUCUCUACAAACACAACUAGAUUAGUAUUUUUCUCUCUUUCUACCAUUCACUUCUCUUUAAUCUCUAUUAAAUUAUUAUAUAUAUAUAUAUAAGUAAUUAGUAAAAUUUCUCUAAGAUAAUCUCUAAAUAAAUUUUAUUAUAAUUAAAAUUUCUUUUUGUUGAUCGACAAUCGAAUUCAAUCAUACUUAUAAUAUAAUUAGAUGUCUGUCUUUCAUAAAGUGUCAACUUCUCAUAAGUUGAAAAGAUAUAGACUAAGUAUAGAUAGGAAUGAGAGGAAGACAAUUAGCUUAUAGAAAUAUACAUCUGUUGUAGGAAAUAAUGUUGCCACGAAAUAAUUUUAGAUGUGAUUGAUGUAUAUAGAUAAAACCAUAUGCCUCCCAAGAAACAUGCACUUUACUACGUUCCAGAUGACUGUGUUGGAUUUCUCCUAUAGGCAGAUAUAUAUAGAUAAACAAUGUGUUCAUGUCAAUCAGCAAGAAAAGACAACUACUUAAAUAAAAUUGGGUUCUCAAAUGGACGAGGGUGUCUAUACUCCAUCUGAUUCUAUACAUCUUUAGAUCAUCGAAGUAUUGUACUUAUGGAUAAUAUUAGAUUCUCAUUAGAUUUUAGUGGCUUUGAUCAAAUCAAUUGACCAUUGUUGCCAAGAUGUCAUUUUCAAAGAUUUUUUCUUCUUUUAUUGUAGGAAAAUAUUCUAGAAUGACAACUUUUAGUUUCAUUUUUGUUUAGGAGAGAUGUUUUUCCCACACAAAAAAGAGAGACGCUUAAAAUCUAUGAUCACUAGAACACCACUGAGAUAAGGAAUUGCUUCUCAAAGAAAGCAACAAAAACACACAAACAAAUAAAUUUCGUGAAAAAAAUAUGAUCAUGACACGUCGAGCUCGUCUGCGUUAGGACAAUUAUGAUCAAUAUUUGUUUUCACAGUUUGCAUUGAUGCUCGACACAAGCAUCAAUGGCUACACACUGCAAUUUGCACAGUUGUUUUCGUUAAUACUGAGUCUGCUAAUUGAUGCAAAUUGUCAUUGCAAAGCUCAUUCCUGGCCUGUUCGGUCUCUCGAGGCCUGUAGACAACAUCACAAAUGCAUUUACAGCUCACAUCGGUGACCAUCACAGUGAAGUAACGGAAUUGGAACCGAGGAGGAAGAGAGCUCGCCUUCUGUAUCGGUUAUGGACAAGUGUAACCAGAGGGUUGAAGUCCUCGAAGACACUGUCCUCCCACUCUAUUGCUGAAAUGAUGUCUGCCAAAUGUAAUUCUCGUCCUGCCACACGACCUCCUUAUCAGUGCUGCAAUUCUCGUCACUCCUCUCCGCGGAGUUCCAUCUACGUGCAUCUUCCUCGUCUUUUCCAUCACCAAGUACUAGCUCGACCGCCUUGGAAGCCCUUGGUUGGAAUAUAUAUAUAUAUAUAUAUAUAUAUAUAUAUAUAUAUAUAUAUAUAUAUAUAAAAUUGACUUUUCUGUAAAACUUCAAGGAGAAUAGGAAGAGAAUAGUAUAAUAAACCACGAGUACUUUCAAUUAGUAGUGCUUUUGACUGACUGAUCAAAGACCACCUAUUUAUAUUAACUAAAAGAUAAAAUAUUUUUUUUAAUUAUAAAAAAUAUUAUAUCCCAAUAAAUCUUUUCACCCUCAUCUAUUUAUUUAAAUCUAAAUUCUUCUAUUUUAUUUUAUCUAUUCCUAAUUAUUUGAAUUAAUCUUAUCACACCCCUUUAAUUCAAAAGGGUUAUAACUUGAAGAUCUCUUGAAAAAAAUAAAAUUAUUAUUUAUUUUUUUAUCAUCCUCAUAGUUGCUAUUAAUUUAUCAAUUUUCUUAUCAUAAAUCAAGUAUUUUUCAUUUUAAAAAUAGCAUAACAUUAUUUUCUCAUCACUUCCUAUACUAAUGAGAUUUUAUUUUAAAUUAUAAAUAAACAUCGCAUCAUCAAUGAAUUUUUUACCAAAUCUGGUGUUCACGUUAAUUGUUCCUUUCCCUUUAACUUGAACUUUACUGUCAUUUCUCAUUUGUACUAUAGAUCAAAUUGAAUUAUCAAGGAACAACUUUAGUCCUCUGUCAUAUAAUAAAGAUACGGAGUAUUCUUUAUUAAAUGCUAUAAGGAAAAUAUUUUCUUUAUCCUUUUUAUCGUUAUUAUUUUCCUCAUGAUAAUUUGUUUGAGUUUUGUUCUAAUAUUUUUUUUAGAUGACCAUAUAUCUUUUUCAAGAUGACCAUAUUUUUUUUACGGUGAGAGCAGAGAGGAAUAUUUAGUUUUUUAUUUUUUAUUUUUUCAAUAUAUUUAAUUUUUUUAUAAUAAAAAUAUUGACGUGUUUCUUUAUUACCUACAUUAGAAUUCCUCUAACCAUCAUAUAAUUGGCAUUGUUCUUUACCAUUUUGAUCUUUCUCUUGAGAUCUAGUUUUUUACUUUUUCUUUUGGUCUUCUUUUGAUGUAUCUUUAUGAAGGGCUCUAAAGUUUCAUGUGAAGAUUAUUCACUUUUUAUUCAUGGACUAAAAGCAAGCCUAUUAAUUCAUCAACAGAUAAUAUACUUGUACCUUUAGCUUCUUCUAUAGCUAGUAGAAAUAAUAUCAAAUUUUGAAGAUCUUUUAAAUUUUAUUAAACUUUUUCUACUACAAUUUGAUCUUUUAAAUUUUCACCAUAAAAUCUCAUUUGUUUCAUAAUAGAAGAGACUUAAAAAAAAAAAAACCAAUGAUAGAUUAAGAAUUUUUCUUCAUAAGAGCUUCAAAUUGACGCUGAAGAAUUUGAAGUUUUGAAACUUUUACCUUAUUUCUGCCUCCAAACAUACUUUUUAAUAAUUUUCAAGUUUUUAUUGAUAUUGAUAUUAUCAUGAUUUGAGGAAAUAGAAGCUCAUCUAUUGCUUGUUGUAGCAUGUAGAAGGCUAUUACAUCUUUUUGCAUGUUCUUAUUCAUUUGAUCUUUUCGAUCUUCAAUAAUAUUAGGAUUAUAUAGAUCAUACUCAACAAAACUAUUCACUACUAAAUUUUACAAUCCUUGUGAAAUUUUACAAUAAUAUUAGCCUCCUUUUUGCCUCCUCUCGACGUAGGACGAACGCCCACGGCAGCGGAGGAGAAGGAUGAGCAGAUCAAAACCAGAGAGAGAGAAGAGGGAGCGAAUUUGUAGAGAGUUGGUGUGAUUAGUGUGGGAUAUGAUUAAGAGAGAGAGAGAGAGAGAGUGAUAAGGGUAAAAAUGGUGAUGUCACACACGACGUCAGCCGACGCCUCAUGUCUCGAUCGGCGCAACUGCACUCGAUUAACCGAGCCGGAACACUGGCCGAGGCUCAUUAACACACUUGGUUCUUCACGCCACGCCAACCCCAUAUCAGACGCUAUCAGCCUGCCUCCUGCAGGAAGCCACGUCAAGUAACAUCAAACUCAUAUAUAAAUACCCCAGAGUUCUAAACGAACAGGGAGGGAGACGAUUUCACCCAAAAACUCCUCUCCCAAUCACUGACUUGAUCGUCGGAGGGGUCGGGCUGAACCGCCGACCCGACCUGUGUGCAGGUACUCAACUAAAGCCGAUCCAACCCGGCGUUGUGGAACUUUCCAGCCAGACCCCCGCAAUCGGCCGCCCCAAGAUCCCGAGAAGAGUCACGCCUGAUCCCGGCCAUUCGGACCCCUGAACCAGCCGCGUCGACCCCGAGGUCACGGCUAAAAAAGUUACUUACCAUAACAGAUUGGCGCUAGAAGGAGGGGCCCGAAUGUCGAGGGAUCCUCAGACUAAUCCCGACAAACUCCCUGCCGAGGGAUCGUUCUUAGCGGGGGCGCAGACCGUGCGUCCCUUGCGCGACGGGCCGCGGGCUGACGACCUCCCCGCGACCUCGGAACGCUACUAGCGUUCAUUCGACGACCCGAAUCUGCUUCCGCCGGAGGGCGCUCCGAGCGCCCCCUCGCCAGUGUCAUCCGAGGCCUUUCACGACCUCGCUCGUCAAGUCCGAGCUCUGACGGAUAUGGUGCAAACCAUCAUCCCGCCCGUCUCCCAACCGACACCCCCGCUUAAGACUCAACUGCUACGACAACAAGAGCCGCCCGCCUGGGCCCACGUGACGCCUCCGGAGCCUCCCGCUUCGCCUCGGGUCCGACCGACCCCACUCGGGGAUCCAGUGAUGGCAGACCCGAGCGGCCCCCCGGAGCCCGAAGUAUUAUCUCCGGAGUCAACGGAUUCCCUGCGAGCCCAGCUACACUUUCUUAGUCAGCGGCUCGACGAACUAGAGAAGGAGUUUCGCAACUCAGAGGGAGAGCUCGGGAUGGACGCAUACCGAGGAUCUCCGUUCGCACCAAAGAUACGAGAUCACGCAGUUCCCCCGAACUUCCAUCUCCCUUCUUCGGACGCAUACGAUGGCUCCACUGACCCAGCGGACCAUGUUGCCGCUUUCCGUGCCCAAUUGGCACUGUACGGAACGUCUGCGCUUCAAUGUGCAGGGCGUUUCCCACGACCCUGAGGGGUCCGGCCCGCACAUGGUACAGCGGCCUGAAGACCGGAACGAUCACUUCCUUCGGCCAACUCGCCAAGGACUUCGAGCUCCACUUCGUAGCCCAUGCCCGGCCAAAGCCCUCCGCGACACUGCUCCUCGGACUCAAACAAAGAGAGGACGAGCCCCUCUCACAUUUCGUGGACCGCUUUGCCACGCAAAUCCGGAGCUUACCAGACACUCACCCCUCUCUGUUAGUUCAGGCGUUCAUGGUAGGCUUGCGACCUUCCAAAUUCUGUUGGUCCCUCGUAGAGCGACCCCCCACCACAGUACCAGAUAUGCUCCAGCGAGCUAACCGGUACAUCGCGGCGGAAGCUUGGGUGACCGCAAGGAAGAGGAGUGACUUUGGGCGACGGGCCCCGUAGCAGCGGUCAAGCAUCCGCGGUUGCUAUCCGGUGUAAUCCUCGUGCAAGGAAUCUAGCCCCUGCCUCAGUCUCUUCCAAGCGAAGGCUCCAUGUUUACCUGACCGCCUCUUGGCUCACGGUUAGCUUCGGCCUAACCCCCUCUUUUUUGCAUUCGCAUGGCUCGGUCGUAGACGGCCCGAGUCCACCUCAGCGCGGCCUGCGCGCCUGAGCAUUGCCCCUCGGUCGCAGCCUACCUGCGCCGAGCACCUCGGCCACACAUUGCCGAGAUCCACCUCGGCGCGGCUUGUCCGCCUGUGUCGUGCUACUCGGUCGCAUGGUGCCCGAGACCACGUCUGCGUGUCCUGCCCGCCUGCGUCGUGCUACUCGGCCGCAUGGCCCUCGCGACCAUGCCUGCGCGGUCUGCUCGCCUGCGUCGUACUCCUCGGCAGCAUGAUGCCCGAGACCACACCUGCGCAGCCUGCCCGCCUGCGUCGUGCUCCUCGCUCCCAUCAUCCCCGAGACACACCUGCGCGGCCAGCCCGCCUGCGUCGUGCUCCUUGGCUCCAUGUUCCCGAGACACACCUGCACGGCCAGCCCGCCUGCGUCGUGCCCCUCGGCUCCAUACUCCCCGAGACACGCCUGCGCGGCCAGCCUGCCUGCGNNNNNNNNNNNNNNNNNNNNGGCAAGAAAGAAUGAGGAUUUGACGUUUACGUUACUCAACUCUUUAAUCACUCUCUCGCUCUCUCUCUCUCUCUCUCUCUCUCGGUUUGACUCCGCAGAUAUGUAGAGAGAGCAACAACGACACCUCGACGGGAAUUACGUCGAGGAGGUUGUAUGCUCUUUUUACAAUUUUCUGAAAUAACCUAAUACGUAACAAAAAUUAAAAUGUUAACGAGAUUGGCAGUUCAAAACUUCAUUCGAUAAAUAUGAUGAUGUCUCCCAAGUUUAACCGAUUAAGAAGUUAAUUAUUUUAUAGUAAAAUCUAAAAUUAAAAUGUAAAAAAAAGUCAAUCGUAACUGUACAAGCCAUGCCUUUACGUACUAAUUUAUAAUAUUUAUCCUAAUCGAUUUGAUAUUGUUAUCUUUAUUGAUAAAGUUUACUAUUAAUAAUAAUUUUUUACUAUUGACAACCCGCUUGCUAUUGAUAAUUUUUUAAAAAAUAAAAUAUUAUUUUACUAUUUAUAGUCCUUAUAUUAACUAUUUUUUAUCUUUUUUUUAUAACCUCUUAUUUUAUUCUUGCUACCGACAUCCUUUCAAUUAUUGACAUUAUCGCUCACAGUUAUCGUCCGACCCUACUCAUCACCUCUUGAUAUUGACUUUCUAGAAGAAAAAUAUUGAGGAGAAAUUUGAAGAAGAGGAAGAUAUUUAUAUUUAUUUACAAAGAGUUUGUUUAGAAAUAUUAAAAAUUAAAAAAAAAUUAUAAAUGAUAAAAGAAACUUAAAAGUAGUAAUAUCCUUUUUGAUUAGUGGAUUAUGUUGCAUCUACCAACAUAGUUUUUGGAUGAAAUGAAGCUAAAAAGCAUUUCUAAAUCGGCAGUGAUAAAUUUGUUCUCAUUUUAGUCUAUUAUUGUUUUGCUUAUUUUAUAUCACUUAUUUGUGUAUCUCAUUUAGUGAUCUUUAUUUAAUAUAUAUAUUCUUAAUGAUGUCUCAUUUUCUUUUUUCUCUCUUGAUUUGCUUUGUUAUAUUUAUUUUAACAUUUAGUAAUAGAGAUAUGAGAAUAAUAACUUAAGAAAGACCAUCAAUAUCUUAACACCAUAUUAUUGAUACAUUAACGUCAUAUGAUCGACACUCAGUACUAUGUGACUAACAACUCUUUGCUACAUGAUCGAUACCUUAAUAUCAAAUGGUCAAUGCAUCAUCACCCCUCGAGUGCUGUGAUUACUGACUCAACCUUAUAAAAAUUAGUAUAUGAGAUCUAGCUUAACUAGUUGUUACUUCAUGUUCCUUAAAUGCGACGCUACAUGAUCACAUUUGUAGUCGAAGAAAAUACGUAAUCAUUUUAGACAUUAACCACACCAUUAAUCCAAAAAUCAAAUACUCCACUAUAAAUGCCCUCCAAGUAAAUUACACCUUUUAUAUUCGAUAUUAGCUUGAAUCUUUCGAACUUUUUAUUAAUUUAAAUAUCGAAGAGAUCUUAUCGCUCUCUACGUAAUUCUUUUUCAUAAUAUAUCUUACUGAACCUGCUCUGCCCUUCUCUUGACAUCAAGUUUGUGAUAGAUUUAGACUCUAAUCAAGAUUGACUUUUUACCGUCUACGAAAAAUCAAAUUCUAUUCAGCAAACUAUUGCCAUGGUAGUCAUAAAAUAUAAAACCAAAAUCAUGAAUCACAUCCUCAAAUUGUUAGAUUUUACUAAUUAGAUUUUUUAAUUCUCAUAGUUUUAUUUACUAUAAAAGUACUUAAACUUCUCCAACUACACGUACAUGGAAGAGACAGAGUGAAAUCUAUUAUAUUAUUUGCUCUAUGAGCCUGUCAUCAAUCGGUCUAUCCAGUACAUAUCAGUCUUUUUAUUAUAAUAUUAUUUUUAAUAAAAUGAUAAUAAUAAAUAUAAUUUUAGAAAAAAAAUAUAUUUCUUUUUUCACAUCAAAUUAAAAAUAUAAAAGUAGAUGCUUAGGCUAAGUUUAGAUUGGGAAUCUUGAAACAUAAAUUCUUAUUUGUUAUUUUUAUAAAAAUAAAUGAAUAAUAGUUGUUCGACGUAGUUAAGAUGUUAGGAAUAUGAGUGAUUCCGGUCAAAACCCAAAAAAACUACAUCCAAACUUGGAGUUCAAAAGAUGUAGUUAACAAGAGAAAUAUAUAGCUAGUCUCGUAUCUUACCCUCGUUGGAUAGACUAUAAUGGCCAUUAGAAAUCAAUAAAUGAUAAAGCAUGUUAAGAUGAGAAGAAGGCAUCAACAAUGUCAAUAAUGGAAGGAAUCAUAUUGGGAUUUGACUACCGACUACAAUAUAAACUUGGCUCGAUGGAUCGAUUUGUGCAUUUACUUCGUGGGGCCUUAAGCCAUGUUAAAGAUUGUGUAAUAGACCCGGUUGGAUUGGGUUGUUGAUCCAUCAAUCCUACCAGCACUGUGAUAGAUAGCAAGACAUGUUAUUAUAUGAUAUUAGCAUGGGUUAUCCAAAUGUACUACAACUAUUAUGGAUAAGGAUUCUAUUUCAGAGGUUGACUUAAAGUUCAUCUUACAUUGAGAAGAUGGAUUUAUGUAUCAAAAUGUGUAUUAGCUAUAUUUAUAUUAUUAGAGGUAAUAUAGCUUAUCUUUAAAAAUUUUUAAUUUUAUUUUAGGGUGAAUUCUCAGAAAAUUCAUAUAGCACUUUUUUUUUAUUUUUGAAUUUUUUUCCGUUGAAUACCCUAAUUUUUCUUCCUUUAUAGAAAUGUCACAAAAGAUUUUUUUUAUUUUUUAGUUUGAGAGCAUUUUGGUAUAUAUAAAAAAAAGGAUGCGAUGUCAAAAAGUUAAAAACAAAUAGACGGUUUACAAGAAAAAGAAAAAAAAAGGGGACCCUUCUAGGGAUUUUUUUUGACGUGCAAUAUACUUAAAACAUAAUAUAUAAAUAUUAUUUAGAUAAGCACUUUGUAUGAAGGAGACAUUAUAAUUAUAAUAAUUUCAAUGAUAUUAUAAUAUUUAUUAUAAAUAAUAUGACAAACAUGUUGAGAAUAAAUAAUAUUAUAUAUAAUAUAAUAUCAAAUAUAAUAGUUUUAAUUAGAAUAUAAUAUUUAUUAAAAGUAAUGUGAUAAAUGUAUUGAGAAUAAUAAUAUAAUCGACACUUCCUUACAAUCGCAUGUCGAUGUCAGGUGAUAAAUAUGUUGAGAAUAUAUAAUAUAACAUAAUAUGUUAUUAUAAUAUAAUAUUUAUUUGAAUAAGGGGAUAAAUAUGUUGAGAAUAAUGACAUAAAUUACGCUUGCAAUCAUAAAUGUGUUGAGAAUAUAUAAUAUAAUAUAAUAAUUUUUAUUAUAAAAUAUAAUAUAAUUAAAAAUGUCGAAGCAAUGGAUAAACAUGUCGAGAAUGUUAUAAUAUAAUAUAAUAAUGUUUAAUUAUAAUAUAAUAUUUAUUAGAAUAACGACAUGGCCGACACUCGCUUGCAAUGACAUGUCGUGUGUGUGAGGUUACAGCGGCAACUCUACAAAAACCAGCUGCAUUUGGCCGGUCGAUGACGCAGAGAGGGCAUCUGUGGUUCUCCAUGGAACUGCUGCAGCUCCCUUCCAUCCCAGUCUUGGUGUUCUCCUUCCUCUUCUUGCUCCUCUUGAUCAAGAAGAGAGGAUUCACCGGGUGCAGAAAUGAGAGCCACCCACCACGUCGUCCACCAGGCCCAUGGAAUCUACCCUUCGUCGGAUGCAUGCACCACCUGGUCGGGCAGCUCCCCUUCCGCGCAUUCCGCGAGCUCGCCCGCAAGCAUGGCCCCCUCAUGCUCCUCCGGCUCGGCCAGGUCGACGUCGUCGUCGUCUCCUCGCGCGAAGCCGCCGAGGAGAUCUUGAAGAACCAGAGCGUCACCUUCGCUUCCCGGCCCGAGCUCCUCUCUACCAAGUUCGUCUUCUACGGCCCAACCGGCAUCGUCUGGGCCCCCUACGGCCCUUACUGGCGGCAGCUGCUCAAGCUCUGCUGCAUGGAGCUGUUCUCCGCCGGGCGCAUCCGGUCGUUCUCCCCCAUCAGGACGGAGGAGACCCUUGACCUGAUGAGAGACAUCGCGAGGUCGGGCGGAACCACCGUCAACCUGACCGAGAAGCUCUUCGGGCUGUCGAACGCCAUCGUCUGCCGAGCGGCGUUCGGCAAGCGGCGCAAGCACCGGGAGAGGUUCAUCCCGGUCAUCAAGGAUGCUCUGGCGCUCUCCAGUGGUUUCCGCGUGGCCGACAUGUUCCCGUCGCUCAAGUUCAUCGACAUCCUCUCGGGUGCCGUGUUCAGGUUGCGGCGGCUCCGGCGGCAGCUAGACGAGAUCCUGGAAGACAUAAUCAAGGAGCAUGAGGGCAAGGCUUCCGCGAGCAGCGGCGACAAAGCUGGAGAGGUAGACGACCUAGUGGACGUGCUGCUGAGGCUCAAAGACGACCCCCAACUGGAAGUGCCCUUGACGAUGGAAAACGUCAAGGGUGUGAUCGUGGUAAGGAACGAUCCAUCGAUCGAUCGAUUCCCGUGAUACUAAUCUAUUGACUACCCACAUCGCUCUUGGUUCUUGUGAUCUACAGGACAUGUUCCUGGGGGGCACCGAGACGUCUUCGACCGUCGUCGAAUGGGCCAUGUCGGAGCUGAUGAGAAACCCCGAGAUCAUGGAGAGAGCGCAGAAGGAAGUGAGGGAAUUAGCUGCGCAACGGAGGAACAGAGUAGAGGAGAGCGACAUCUCCGAGCUAAACUACAUGAAGCUAAUCAUCAAGGAGACGCUGCGGCUUCACCCGCCGGCCCCGCUGUUACCGAGACUGUGCAGGGAGACCUGCGAGGUCAUGGGGUACAGGAUCGACGCCGGCACUCGCGUCUUCGUCAACUUAUGGGCGAACGGCAGGGAUGCGCGUUACUGGGACGACGCCGAGACAUUCAAACCAGAGAGGUUCGAAGGCAGCGCCAUGGAUUUCAAGGGAGUCGACUUCGAGUACUUGCCGUUCGGGGCCGGGCCGAGGAUAUGCCCCGGAAUGGGUUUCGGGAUGGCCACCGUGGAGCUCGCCCUGACUCACCUCCUCCUGCACUUCGACUGGGAGCUGCCCCAUGGAAUGAGACCGGAGGAGCUCGACAUGUCCGAGACCA
This 10873-nucleotide long non-coding RNA is filed under the name Musa acuminata (dwarf banana). Its description in RNAcentral is "long non-coding RNA (MACU_LNC002911)". The record is from RNAcentral. Lineage: Eukaryota; Viridiplantae; Streptophyta; Magnoliopsida; Zingiberales; Musaceae.